CAAACGGAGAGUUUGAUCCUGGCUCAGGAUGAACGCUGGCGGCGUGCCUAACACAUGCAAGUCGAACGAACGUAGCAAUACGUUAGUG
This 88-nucleotide ribosomal RNA is filed under the name Pleurocapsa minor GSE-CHR-MK 17-07R. RNAcentral's name for it is "Pleurocapsa minor GSE-CHR-MK-17-07R (algae metagenome) partial 16S ribosomal RNA". It matches the Rfam family "Bacterial small subunit ribosomal RNA", at positions 1 to 97 of the family's 1533-position model. Lineage: Bacteria; Bacillati; Cyanobacteriota; Cyanophyceae; Pleurocapsales; Pleurocapsaceae. The record is from RNAcentral.